This is a non-coding RNA of Theobroma cacao (cacao), 1902 nucleotides long. The record is from RefSeq and is a predicted model, not a curated record. NCBI's taxonomy places the organism in Eukaryota, Viridiplantae, Streptophyta, Magnoliopsida, Malvales, Malvaceae.
CUGUGCCGGCUUACGUGAUGGGUGUACUCUGUGCAAAUAUUGUAUGUUAGAGCCCUGAAUGACUCGCUUGGGUUCCUUUAGGCUUGGUGAAAAUUUUCUUCUAAGUUACGCCAACAAUCGACAUCGCCGAUCGAUCAAGCGCCCGUUUCGGCUACAAGACUUGUGAAAGUGAACUCCAUAUAUACUCAGAUGUUUAUGAAAAGUGAUUCUCCAUAUGUGGAUGUUUACUUCAACAGGUGUGUUUUUGCUCUUGAAUUAAUUACAAGGUGUUGCAUUUUUCGUCCUGCAUCAACCUGGUCGGUGCAUUAGACAACUUUUUGCACUCUGCUUGGUAGGCCUGAAAGGUUUCACCUAGGAUAUGUCAGCAGCAGCAGAUCUCCUAGUCCAGACUCAGAAAGAGGGCUGGCUGCAUUUAUCGAGAAUCAGACCGUUCUCUUGGUGACAUUGAUGACAGAAUCUGUUCACCAAAUUAUGGCAGUGAUUGAAUGUCUCCUGUAAUAAAUCUUACCCUCUGAUCUUGUCUGACUAUUAAUUGUUUAAAAAAAUAUUGUAGGUUCGGGGGUAGCUCGUAUUCAUGUCUUCUCGAGGCUUAGGCAGGAGGGGCUUGGAAGGCUUUGCAACAGAUCUGUAGGAUAGUUAAAGAACAUCAAAGAACCGUUCAAGAGAGACAUUAUUAAAGAAUCUUUACGUUAUUUUCUUGAGAAAAGCUGAGAUAUUGUGGAUCAGUCUGUAUAUAUAUACCACCAGAAUUAUUUUACAUGUUAUGACAGUAUUGUCAUCUCCUUUUGCAUCAUAUAUAUCCAAACCAAUCGGAUUGGGUGUAAUUCAAGCAUCAAUUUGACACCAAACUUGUUGCCACUUGCCAGUUCCUUGUGCAGGUGCAGUUAGAUUUUUCUUUCCCAGCAUUUAGAGAAUGAGGACCCUCCACAGUCGAAUUCAUGCCUGUGAUCUUAAAUGUUGAUUGAACAGCACAGCACAAUCCAAUGCCUAUGGACUUUUUUUCAAGAUGGCCUUCUUAGUCGUCACCUUGGGCAUGUUGUUCGAAUUAUGGAUUAGCUCAUGGGUUUGUACUUGUAAUACGUGGCAAAGCUGUCCCCAGAACCAGGACCAGAGCCAGAAAUUUUUGGUGUUUUAUUACUUGGCUAUGGUCCAUACGGGGUCGUGCGCAUCUGAUGAUGUUUCACGCUGGCAAGGGCAGAGAGCGAGCUAGGACAGUUUGUGGAGCUCAGAUUGGGAAUUAAUGAGGCAAAAUUCCAGGACAGGUCCACCUGCAAACAAUUGUUUUCCGGGAUGAUGUUUUCGAAAUAAAAUUUUACAUAACACUAUGAUCGAGUUGUUUACAACUUAGAAAAGUUCUAAUUUCAAAUCAACAAGUAAACCAUUUUUCAAAAGAAUUUACUCUCAAAAGGAGCCCACAACACCACCAAAGGAGAUCAAUUACACCAAAAGGUGGCAUAUGUCACACAUCCCAAAUUUGUAGUUAUGCUACAACAGGGCCAGCCGACCUGGUUGUUGGAAGUCGCUGUACCUCCACUUUCUGAAUCUCUCCCUUACUCCACCCCACCCCACCCCACAACCUAUCUGAAAAUUUUAUUUCCUCUAGACCUCCUUGUUUCUUAGAACCUUGUAAUUACUAAGGUAUUAAAGCUGGAAUUCGAGCAAUCCAUCCGACUUAACACUAAUCUACUGCUGAAUUGAUAUUACCUUGCUAAAAAACAAUGAUUAAAAAUGGAGAACACCUGAAACGGUUAAUUACAAUGCCUAUACAAUCAACUAGCCAUCCUAGUGAAUAUUUAGCUGCUAUCCUUUGCAAACUUGAUAGCUUUAGCCUUGCAACAAAAUCUAACCAUACUUUCUUCACAUAAAGACGCUCAAUGUCAACAAAUCAUGCAGAAAUGCCUU